UGUCCUCCAGCCAAGAUCUGACACUCCUCAGUGAGGGGUACAGCCUGGUGGGGGCAGCUAAGGGAAUAGUCACCAACCUCUCUCAUAGCAGAUGUUUUCCUCUUUUUUCCACGCCUAGGGCUGGCUCUGGCCAUCUGGUAGACCUCUUAGCCUCCUGGCUCAGGGUUUCUCACACUAGUUUUCUGUUUGGGGCCCUAGGAGGCAGGUGGCUCCCCCAGGCAGAAUCGGCCCCACUGCCCCUCCUCCGUGCUGGUGUGGGUGACCCACAGUCAACACCAUCUAACUCAGCCCUUUCCCACUUUGUCCCCUGCAGGUGGUGGUGGGAAAGCCAAGGUUUCUGGCAGACCCAGCAGCCGAAAAGCCAAGUCGCCAGCGCCAGGCCUGGCACCCGG
RNAcentral lists this long non-coding RNA (392 nucleotides) under Rattus norvegicus (Norway rat). RNAcentral's name for it is "long non-coding RNA NONRATT007468". Lineage: Eukaryota; Metazoa; Chordata; Mammalia; Rodentia; Muridae. The record is from RNAcentral.